Molecule: ribosomal RNA, 510 nt
Filed under: uncultured bacterium
Lineage: Bacteria
Description: bacterial SSU rRNA
Rfam family: Bacterial small subunit ribosomal RNA
Source: RNAcentral
AAUCAACGCUGGCGGCGCGCUUAACACAUGCAAGUCGAACGAGAAAGGGGAGCAAUCCCUGAGUAAAGUGGCAGACGGGUGAGUAACACGUGGGUCAUCCACUCCUUGGUGGGGGAUAACCCUGGGAAACCGGGGCUAAUACCGCAUAAGUCCGAGAGGACAAAGACGAAAGUCGCCGAGGAAGGAGCCCGCGGCCGAUUAGCUAGUUGGUAGGGUAACGGCCUACCAAGGCUUUGAUCGGUAGCCGGCCUGAGAGGGCACACGGCCACACUGGCACUGAGACACGGGCCAGACUCCUACGGGAGGCAGCAGUGGGGAAUCUUGCACAAUGGGGGAAACCCUGAUGCAGCGACGCCGCGUGAGCGAUGAAGCCCUUCGGGGUGUAAAGCUCUUUCGACAGGAACGAUUAUGACGGUACCUGGAGAAGAAGCUGCGGCUAACUACGUGCCAGCAGCCGCGGUAAUACGUAGGCAGCAAGCGUUGUUCGGAGUUACUGGGCGUAAAGAGUGU